RNAcentral lists this ribosomal RNA (253 nucleotides) under uncultured bacterium. RNAcentral describes it as "partial 16S ribosomal RNA". It matches the Rfam family "Bacterial small subunit ribosomal RNA", at positions 524 to 776 of the family's 1533-position model. The record is from RNAcentral.
UACGGAGGGUGCAAGCGUUGUCCGGAAUCAUUGGGCGUAAAGAGUUCGUAGGUGGUAUGUUAAGUCUGGUGUUAAAGGCAGAAGCUCAACUUCUGUAAGGCACUGGAUACUGGCAAACUUGAAUGCGGUAGAGGUAAAGGGAAUUCCUGGUGUAGCGGUGAAAUGCGUAGAUAUCAGGAGGAACAUCGGUGGCGAAAGCGCUUUACUGGACCGUUAUUGACACUGAGGAACGAAAGCCGGGGUAGCAAAUGGG